AAUCAAUGAACUUGUAUAAGUAUAUGCCUUGAAAGCAUAAAAAAGAAAUAAUAAUUUUCUAUUGAUUU
RNAcentral lists this transfer RNA (68 nucleotides) under Tritoma metasobrina. RNAcentral's name for it is "tRNA-Ser". Lineage: Eukaryota; Metazoa; Arthropoda; Insecta; Coleoptera; Erotylidae. The record is from RNAcentral.